RNAcentral lists this long non-coding RNA (5422 nucleotides) under Sus scrofa (pig). Its description in RNAcentral is "lncRNA (ENSSSCG00040049938.1)". The record is from RNAcentral. Lineage: Eukaryota; Metazoa; Chordata; Mammalia; Artiodactyla; Suidae.
GUCUUUUUGUUGUUGUUGCUAUUUCUUGGGCCGCUCCCGCGGCAUAUGGAGGUUCCCAGGCUAGGGGUUGAAUCGGAGCUGUAGCCACCGGCCUUCGCCAGAGCCACAGCAACGCGGGAUCCGAGCCGCGUCUGCAACCUGCACCACAGCUCACGGCAACGCCGGAUCGUUAACCCACUGAGCAAGGGCAGGGACCGAACCCGCAACCUCAUGGUUCCUAGUCGGAUUCGUUAACCACUGCACCACGACGGGAACUCCUGUAUUUUUUAUUUUAAAAAAAAGGAUGCUGGAUGCUAUGGUCAAGUAAAUUUGGAAAAUGCUACUAAAUUGAAUUACUACACCAGGUUUUCAGAUCUUUUAAUAUAAAUCAAUGUAUGGUUAUUCCCCUAGAGAGGAACAAAGUAUACUGUGCUUUCCAAACUUAUUAGACCACAGGCUCUUUCUACUAAGAGCUUCUCCUGGGAAAAAGAUACCAUAGAAUAUACUUUGGAAAUGCUGACUACAUUUUUAUUGGGAGAAAAUAGCAGAACAUCUGGAACUUGAUAAGACACUUAAAAACCAAAAGGAAUCAACUAUUUAACAUUAGCAGAGUCACAAGGUACCAUUGAUCCCAACUAUAACUACUUAACAACCAAAACCCUGAGAGUUCUAGAUUAGAUACUUGCCUACUUUCGGGGCUCCACUAAAAUUCUGAUAUGAACCUCCUAUUGUCUCCUCCUACUCCUGAACUGCAGAUGACCAACUCCAAUCAGCAUCCCACAAUUAAAACAUACACAUACAGAGCAAAUGAGAGGUUCUGCCAAGAGGCAUUAUAGCUGUGCUUCUCAAAUUUUAAUGUGUGUACAAAAACUGCCUGGUGAUUUUGAUUAAAACACAGGUUCUGAUUAUGUGGAUAUGGGCUUGGCCCCACAUUUUGCAUUUCUGACAAACUCUCAGGAGACACCAAUGCUGUUGAACUAGGAACCUCAUUUUAGAUGAGAGUUUGGGGUACCUUAUAAGAAAAAAGAGGUCUCUAACUUAUAAGUAUCCAAUGGCUGUCCUUUGAACUCCUUUUCAAAGGUCUGAUUCUCCCAAAUGAAAACAACUAAGCUUUUACUCCUUUAUAAAAAUAGAAAUUGUAUAAAAUAAAAAGAAGAUACUAAAAUCAUUAUUACUUGCUAACAAUUCUUUUUCUUUCAUUUUUUUUUUUUUUUUUUUUUAGGGCCGCACCCACAAGUUCCCAGGUUUGGGGUCAAAUCAGAGCUGUAGCUGCCAGCCUAUACCACCACCACAGCAAUGCAGGAUCCAAGCUGGUCUGCACUCUACACCACAGCUCGUGGCAGCACUGGAUCCUUAACCCACUGAGCAAGGUCAGGGAUCAAACCACACUCCCCAUGGCUACUAGUCAUUACUGCUGAGCCACAACAGAAAUUCCACAAUUAUUUUUCAUUAGAAAGGGCAGUUUCCUGCAGAUCACCAUAAAAAUGAAUGUAUUUAUAUAAAAAUCACUUUUUUAGUCUAAAUCUUCAUUCUACUACUAUUUCCAAAUGCCUCAACCAAUGGCACAAAACACCUUGACAUCUAUGGUAAUCAGGAAUUGUCUCCACCUUUAGUGUCUUUCAAGGCUGCAACUAUUAUUGCCAUGCUUCCACCCAAAAAAGACAUAUAAAGCCAGCAUCUUUCUCAAUGAUUUACUGAAAGCAGAAGCUCGUUUUAAUAAAACCAUCCCAAAACAUAAAAUUGAUUGAACCAACUGCUGUGGUGGGCAUACACAACAGCUGAUCAAAAUUAUUCAAGAUUUUUAUUCUUACAGAUUUUCUUUGAGGCUUUGAGAAUUUUUUCCCCAGUCUAUACUUUUAUCUUGACACUGAAAUCUCUGAGCUAGAGCAAAAAGGAUUUUUAAAUCUAUGGAAUAAAGUUUUAAACAAUAAAGUAAGUCAAUUCAAAAAAAUAAUAAAUCAGAUCACAUACAAAUUAAUGCAUAUACAAAAACUAAUAACCACUUUUCUAGAAUGUAUUUUGAGUAACAAUAAUUAAAAGUUUAAACAGAGUCACCUCUCAUGUUGUCAAAAAUUGUGCGGCUUUUCCUAGGUAUAAUAGCACUGCCACUUAGCAAAGUGUUACAUCAUCACACAUGAUAUAUUACCCUGAUUCCCUACAAAGGAAAACUUAGUACAAUUAGAAAUUAUUUCUCUUUAUAACUGGAUUUCUUGAUAUUAAACAUUUUAAGAUUUUUUUAUCUCAUUAAAAAACAGACAUUUAUGGUUUCAUUGCAUAUUAAAUGAUGCCUUUGACUUUUUAUAAGAAAGUAAUUUUAUAGUAUUUUUGUCACAGUGAAGGACAAAGAUAAGCCAACUGUUUACAUUCCUCUCCUUUAUGUUGUGUCUUUGAUCACUAACAAUGCUGCGUGAACAGCCAACAGAAGGCUGACAUUUCAUAAAAUAUGCAGUGAUAAAAACUAAUACUGUAGCAUCUGGGAGCGAUAUAUAAAAUGCAGAAAUACACCUAAUAACUGUGAUCUUAAAUUACAAGUUACUAAAAGCUAAAUAAAAAGCAUACCUAGGAAUUUAAAAAGUGGCAAGACUACAAAGGGGGUUUUGUAUUCCUAUUUCUAAAAACAAAGUUUUAAAAAUAAUUUAAGUCUAUAACACUUUUCCUGCUAUUCUAUACUUAAAAGCCAGCUACCUUCUAAGAACAAGGCAUUGGUAUAAUAUACCUUUCAACAACUGAAGAAUACAUUACAACAUCAUCAUUGAAAGGUACUAUAGAAAAUGCCGAAGAAAUUUCUUUUUCUCAGAUGUUUUUAAAUGUCAAAACUGAUGAGAAAGAAGCAACAUAUCACUUUUAAGACAUGAUGCCAGACUAUCACUAAAAUAAGUUUUAAAAACUAUAAUAAUUUAAACAAAUAUACUCUUAAUGCCUGUUCUAAUACAUUUUUUCACAACCUAAGCCUUAAAUUAAAAUCCUUGGUAUAUAACAGCAAAGUAAAUUGUGCUCGAGUAUGUUUAAAUAAUUUUUUUUUUUAAUUUUAUUUUCCCACUGUACAGCAAGGGGGUCAGGUUGUUUAAAUAAUUUUAACUUUACUGCUAAACAUUUCAAUCGUGUGAAUUAUCUUUACAGCUUUCAGUUUGAUAUUCCACCUAUAUUCAUCAAAAUCACAGUCCAGCAGAAGUGUUUUCAUCAGUUUUUUUUAAUAUAUAUGCUAAGGGGAAGGGAAAAAAUAAAUGCCAUAUUCAGCACUUCAAGAAUUCUGAAUUAUACUUUACUAAAGAAAAUAUACAGCAUUAAGUAUGUGGGAGGCAAUUGUCCUUGUGCUUAUAAUUAGCAUCUGAAUUUAGGGAUUUCACUGCUUAAUGCACACCCACCCGCCUGUGAUUCUUACCAGGGCUUUUUAUGUCACUUAAUGGAGAUAAAUACUCUUUUCCCUCCUCAUAUUUACAUCAACGCUAUUUAAUUUUUUUAGAGCUGUUAUAAUAGGUUAAACAGCAGUCUCAACAUCACUCUUCAUCUCCCACUGGACAGAGAAUGGCAUUACAGGACUGAGAAUAGAGAAGGCAUAUUUACAUUCAUAAUGUUCUUAACUAUAACAUUUAUGUAAAUUAUGAUUUUACAUUUGCAAAUACAAUAAUUUUUCGUUUCACUAUAUACUUUGCAAUUCUUUCAUCGUGAACUUUCUACUGCAAUCUCAAAAAACCAUACCUAUGAAAUAUAUGAUGCUGUUCAAGCCAUUGGAAGAAACACUUAAAGCUAAAAUAAUAAUAAAUCUAAUAAUGUACUUAAUUUUAAUCUAAUCUUAUUCUCCUACAAAAGAGAGCUUUAGUACAUUAAAUAAGAACUCACAGAUUUGAGUUUAGGGAAUAUUCCUUUAAAAAAUAUUUUCAUUACCUUUUAAUUAUUUCACAUCAGUUUACAUAGCGUAUGACAUACAAAUUUACUAUAAUUGUUUAAUGUCAAAAAUGUAUGAAUCAUUCUUUCCAUUAUUUUGUCUACUGAGUUUACCCAGACUUAGAGCAAGUAUUAUAUAGUUAGAAGAAAACAAUUGUUUUACCAUUUGAAAAUCUAUGAUUUCAAGAAUAAUUUACCCUAUCAAAUUAUUUUUAAGUUAAGAAAAAUUAUACAUACCAAAAAUAGCAGAGGAAAAAAAGAAGGCAAUUUUCUGAUUUUUCACCUGUCAAAAAAAAUGGCAAACCACAUCUCUCAAUUGUAAUUAAACAGGUAUCAUUAAAUUAGCUGUAUUCAUCUCUCCCUUCUAGGAUAUACGGCCCAUGUAUAUAGGGUCCAGACCUCUUUUAACUCAUUAUCAACAGAGCUUGGGUAUAGGUAAUCAAUUAAUAUUUAUAGAAAUAAUGAGAAAAUAUCAAUUUAUCACCUGAUAUUUGUAAUGAAUGACACUUAGUCCAAAAGAGAGAUGUAAAGAAAUACAACAAAGUCCCUGAUCUCUUGAUACUUAAAAUCCAAUUAGCAACACAGAACCUAGACCCAACCACAAACAAGUAAUAGAGAAAAAGUACUAAAUAGAAAGUGUCUUGUGAGAGGCAACAAAUCAAAAUAGGAGUUCAGAAGAGGAUGAGGUCACAGCAGACCAUACUGUUCAGGAGGAUUUCACGGAGUGUGCAGGACAGGAGCUGCAAGUUAGGGGAAAAGUGUGUAGGUUUUAGAUGAGCAAAAUGAAAAUAUUAGCAACAUCACAGGGCAAAAAGAAGAGAUUAAAAAAUACAGUGAAGUGAGGAAGGAUAUGCAAAUGUAGGAAGGUUCCCAGCAUUUGUUGGGACUGUCUUGACAGAAAUGGGAGAACUGUUGUUGCUCACUAGUGGAAGAUAAGGUUAAAUGGUAAAUUAGGACAACUUUAUGAGAGAAUCUUGAAAAUCAGGUUAGAGAUUCCAAGUUUCAAUCUUCAGCCAUUAAACAUUCCUAAGCAGGAGAAUAACAGAGUAAAAGCAAUGCUUUAAGAAGAUUAAUCUGACAAUAUACAGUAUGGAUUUGAGGAACAAGGAUAUCAAAUACUUCAGAUUUGAGAACAGCAAAAACUUCUGAAGUAUUCCAGGAAUAAGGCUGUAGAAGAGUGGAUGAGGCCAGCUUUUGAGAAUGGCAAGUAACUGGCAGGAGCAAAAACUACUAAGACUACAAAGCUAAUUAGAUAUGAGGGGCAAGGGAGAUGGAGACUGUCAAGUCCUAGGUCAAAGAUUAAAAACCCUAAAGCAGAGUGAGAGGGAAGCCAAGAAUGGCUAAAUUUUGCUGGGAGAAGACAGGUCAGGGGCAAAACGAUGCUGUUGGUUCUUCCAGACAGUCAUGGUGGUAGGAGGCAAAGUAUUCAAGACAGUAGGAAAUGGAGAGAUGGAAACAUGAGAGUGAGGUCAAAUUUGGAGUUUUCUUCCAAGGGCCUUUUUUUCUUUCUUUCUUUCUUUUUUUUUGGGGGGGGUCACCCCAAGGCAUAUGAAGUUCC